Molecule: ribosomal RNA, 486 nt
Filed under: uncultured bacterium
Lineage: Bacteria
Description: bacterial SSU rRNA
Rfam family: Bacterial small subunit ribosomal RNA
Source: RNAcentral
CAGGCCUAACACAUGCAAGUCGAACGGCAGCACGGGACCAUCCUGAUGGCGAGUGGCGAACGGGUGAGUAAUACAUCGGAACGUGCCCAAUCGUGGGGGAUAACGCAGCGAAAGCUGUGCUAAUACCGCAUACGAUCUGCGGAUGAAAGCGGGGGAUCUUCGGACCUCGCGCGAGUGGAGCGGCCGAUGGCAGAUUAGGUAGUUGGUGGGGUAAAGGCCUACCAAGCCUGCGAUCUGUAGCUGGUCUGAGAGGACGACCAGCCACACUGGGACUGAGACACGGCCCAGACUCCUACGGGAGGCAGCAGUGGGGAAUUUUGGACAAUGGGCGCAAGCCUGAUCCAGCCAUGCCGCGUGCAGGAUGAAGGCCUUCGGGUUGUAAACUGCUUUUGUACGGAACGAAAAGGCCUUUCUUUAAUAAAGAGGGCUCAUGACCGUACCGUAAGAAUAACCACCGGCUAACUACGUGCCAGCAGCCGCGGUAAU